GUAUAGCAGUCGGUUGACCGUGUAGUUAACGGUGUGGUGUUAUUUUUUUAAAUAAAAAUUUUAGACUUUAUGCAGUGAAACUAUUGAAAGGAACUGUUAAAAUGAAAAGUCUUAUUAACGCCAUCAAAAUUAUGGGACAGUGGUACUAAAUAGCCUAAUGCUUGACGUCUGAAGAUUACCAAAAUGAAAAAGUAACUAACCACGUAGUACAUCAGUCAGCAAGGAAAUGAUUGAACUCAAUCGUCACCGUGGAAAAGUUUAUCAGGGUGGAAUGAAUGAAAUGAAUAUCGCAACCCAAGCCGAGUGCCAGAACCGAUAUUUCGAUGGUAUUAACUGACAGUCCCUUGAAGUGGAUUUGAGUGGUAACCGUUCCAACUAGGAUCCACUUUAUAAGUCACCACUGAAGCAACUAGAAGAAUAAGCACCAAAGACCUCAAUGGUUCGGAAAGCAGUUUAAUCCGUACAACUAAAAAUGGCGAGGUAAAGGAGGUCGUUCAUGAGGACGAGGAAGGAGUUGUUAAUGCCACUGCUAAUGCUGCCAUAUCGAUUUCCUUAGAAACUUGUCAGAAACAGAGAAAUGUAUUUGCAGCUUCUGUAUGUACGUAUAAGUAUAUAGGUACUACGUGGUGGUGGUGGUGAGUGCCGUAGCAGUUGAAGGAAGAAGGAGCCACUACGUUUGCUGAAGUGCCGAAUCAAACCGGGCUCUUGGCAAACUGCGGAAUUCACUCUGUUUGAUUAAAAGCCAAAGCCAAAUGCACCACCAAUCGUUGACAAGCGAUUCGGUUACUACCGACUAAAUUCUUUGAGUGCUUGGCAGGAUAAUGAACAAAAUCCUACCAUAUUUUGGAAGCCAUAGGGUUUAUAUUCUUAAUCCGCUGGUCGAGGAUCACUCAGAUACCUCGUAUAAGCCCUUACCAAGAUUUAAUGCAAUGGUAUAAAGCAACCGGAACUUCUUAAUAAUCGCAGUUGAAGAAAUUAAGUAAAUGUAUUAGUAAUAUUACAAAAAAAUUCAUAGAAUCUUUGACAAGACAACCGAGGAUAUUCGGUUGUUUCUGGCUUUAUUUGCUUCAUUGCCGCUACUACUACUACUACCUUAUUUUAUUUACGUUCAUUUUUUAAAACCUUAACAGGAUCAAUGGUCAAGUGAACCCUUUUUGUUCAUUAGUCUUAUCACCGACUAAAUUUCUUCAGACAUCGGAAGGAUCUACUAUACUUAGCAGGACUACAGAGUUUAUUCCCCAAUCCAUUAACCGAAGAACAAUAAAAUACUUCUAUAAGCCCGUGACAAAAUCAUUGAUGUAAUUAAUUAGUUUUUUAACUCCUUAGAAUAAGAGAACCGGAAUUCAUUAAAUUACAGAAGAAAUUCAUUGAAAACAUUCACAAUAUCACUGAAGAAAUUUAUUGGAAUCUUUGACUGGACAACCAAGAAGAGUGGGAUAGCAAGAUACUCUUCAAGCCUUCAAAAGGACCACUGAGAAAAUUCGUUGGAAUAAAAAUAAAUAACUAAGUGGUUGCUAUAACUCGGGAGGACGUUCUUGAAAAAUUCGUUGAGAGCGUUGACAGGACCAAAUAAUUCGUUGGGAAUCCUGGCAGGACCAUCCUGAUAUAUCUGUGAAGAAGUAUGUUGGAAUCAUUGACUGGACAACCGAGAAGAAUCAUACGCUUUGGGCUGGAGUACGAACGCCACACUUAAUUAUUUGUCAGGAUCAUCGAGAUAGGAUAACAAGAUACUCUUCAAGCCUUGAAGAGGACCAUUAAGAAAAUUCGUUGGAAUCCUUCAAAUAACUAAGUGGUUGCGACAACUGGAAAGAACCUUCUUAAAGAAUUCGUUGGAGCGUUGGUAGGACCAGAAAAUUCGUUGGGAAUCCUGGCAGGACCAUCCAUCUAGGAGAUUGGUUGAAGCAAUUGCAACUACCACCAUGGAUCGGAAAUUAUAUAAAGUAGAUCAGCAUAAUAAAAGAAUGAAGAGCUCAUAAGAUCACAGAAGAAAUUCAUUGAAAACAUUGGCAAUAUCACUUGAGAAGUUUAUUGCAAUCUUUGACUGGACAACCGAGAAGAGAUAACAAGAUACUCUUCACGCCUUCAAAAGGAACACUGAGAAAAUUCGUUGGAGCGUUGGAAAGAUCUGAUGAUUUUUUGGAAAUCCUGGCAGGAUCAUCCAUCCAGCAGAUUCUUUAAAAUGGACCAGCAUGAAGGAAAUGAUGGAGAGAUUUGAUUAUUUAUGUGUCGAAUGGGGUUCAUUUUGGAAUUAAGUAAAAAGAUAUGGAAUGGAAAUGGAAUUAUUUGAAAUAGAAUUGGAUAAAGAAAUGGAAUUUAUUUGAUUAUGGAAUUAAAUAAAGGAUAGACUUAACUGUUUAGGGAAUGGAAUUAAUUAAAUAAGGAAUAUGGAGGAUAUGUCGAAUGAGUUAAGAGGGAGGUUGUACUGUGUUGUGUUAUGUAAUGUAAUUGAAAUGUAUUAUUUAGAUGUACUAAUAUUUAUUUAUGUUACACAUUUACCACUUUAAAUGUAAGUUUAUGUGAGUAUAUAAAUUGUUUAAAAAAAA
This is a long non-coding RNA of Agrilus planipennis (emerald ash borer), 2543 nucleotides long. RefSeq lists it as uncharacterized. The transcript has 10 exons. NCBI's taxonomy places the organism in Eukaryota, Metazoa, Arthropoda, Insecta, Coleoptera, Buprestidae. The record is from RefSeq and is a predicted model, not a curated record.